UGGCUCCCUUCUUGCCAGAGAGCCAGAAGGGAGCCGGGGCUCCCUCCGGGGACAAGAGAGCCACAAGUGGCUCUCUUGUUCCCGGGGGGAGCUGCAGCU
This 99-nucleotide small nucleolar RNA is filed under the name Pelusios castaneus (West African mud turtle). RNAcentral's name for it is "Small nucleolar RNA SNORA64/SNORA10 family (ENSPCEG00000008152.1)". Lineage: Eukaryota; Metazoa; Chordata; Testudines; Pelomedusidae. The record is from RNAcentral.